Pyrgilauda ruficollis (rufous-necked snowfinch) is the source of this 1357-nucleotide long non-coding RNA. RefSeq lists it as uncharacterized. NCBI's taxonomy places the organism in Eukaryota, Metazoa, Chordata, Aves, Passeriformes, Passeridae. The record is from RefSeq and is a predicted model, not a curated record. The transcript has 3 exons.
AGGUGGCAGUCAGCAUGGAUAGUGCUGUGAGAAAACUGAACCAAAUUCAGCACUCGAUAGGAACAAAAUCCUUCUGCUUUGCUUCGCUGUAGGACUACAGGAUCUUGAAGCUGAGUCUGUUCAGUAGGAAAUUACUGGAAAAAUAGUGGCACAUUCCCUUGAUCUGUGUGACAUUCUCAGUUCUUGCCUUCAUCCAGGAUAUUUUUACCAUAACCUUGCAAGGGAGUGAAGCAUACUAUUUACAGAUUUAAAUAUAUUUUAUCCAUUAUUUCCCCACUGUUACUGCACCCACAUGAUGACAAGUUCUACAAUAACAGCACAGAGUUGCAACUUCUAGUUUUCAUCUUUAAGCUGUCUUGUAGUUGCUGUGCUGUGUCCUAGAUGCAUCAGUCUGAUAUUGCUUAUACAACUUUAAUGCUGUGUGCACUGAACUGCAAGCAUUUGAGAUAGACUUAAUGGUGGCAAAUUAACUGAGAGACAAAACAUCAAAUUAAUGAUGGAGAGUGAUAGAUACACUUAAGAGAAAAACCCAUUCUACGUUAGCAUCAGAUCAGUACGGAGAGCUCAAAUCUGCACCACCAGAAAGAGACACAGAAGUUCACCACUGCAGCUCUCAAGCCAGCAGAUAUUUGAGGCAAGUGUUCUGUAAAGUUAGUACAACUCUCCAGUUUCUACCCUUAUUGCAAUUUUUGUGGGAUUGUUUCCCUAGCUAGGGGCUGCAGGGUCAUUUUUUAAAAAAGCAAUCCUUUGCUGGCUCUGCACUUCUGAAUACAACCCAAUGUUUAAAUCCUGAAGUCCUUAUUCAGCGAAACUUUUAUCAAAUUUUGCAGGGAGAAAGAGGGGUGCCUGUACAUGGAUUCAAAUUCUGUUUCACCAUAUACUGGCCAUGGCAAGAGAUUGUGUUUAACGUUUAGGAAGUGAAAUUCUAACAAACAUUGCUAAAUGCUGAUGUAGUUGAAACCUGUUAUUUGGGGGAGUGCAUCACACCAUUUUGUGCUUUACCAUGCUGGAUUAAUGCCAAAGAACGAAGCCAAAAUGAAACACAAAUUGUAAUCAGUCUCCAGCAAUGGAACUGCUUUCUCAUCACCCUUUUGUUCGAAUGGCAUCAUGCAGAAACCCAACAAGCUAUGAGACUGCAAACAGGUUUGCUUUGUGAGGAAUUCAGCGGUGAUGGGCCAGCUCUGGCUGGGCUCCACUGCCUGUUUAUAACAGGGGAAGAACUGGAGCAGAGCUGUUUGAUUCAGCCUUGAAAAUCGGUAUUAAAUUGUUGAUGAUGGCGUAGGAGCUGCUGCUCCAGCUGUUUGAACUUUAGCAGAGGGAUAACGCCAGCUUCCAAUGUGUUGCUUCACAAACACAA